CGGACGGGUGAGUAACGCGUGGAGAACCUGCCGUAUACUGGGGGAUAACACUUAGAAAUAGGUGCUAAUACCGCAUAAGCGCACAGCUUCGCAUGAAGCAGUGUGAAAAACUCCGGUGGUAUACGAUGGAUCCGCGUCUGAUUAGCUUGUUGGCGGGGUAAAGGCCCACCAAGGCGACGAUCAGUAGCCGGCCUGAGAGGGUGAACGGCCACAUUGGGACUGAGACACGGCCCAAACUCCUACGGAAGGCAGCAG
This 255-nucleotide ribosomal RNA is filed under the name uncultured bacterium. RNAcentral describes it as "partial 16S ribosomal RNA". It matches the Rfam family "Bacterial small subunit ribosomal RNA", at positions 99 to 354 of the family's 1533-position model. The record is from RNAcentral.